This 67-nucleotide transfer RNA is filed under the name Marmota monax (woodchuck). RNAcentral's name for it is "tRNA.Ala". Lineage: Eukaryota; Metazoa; Chordata; Mammalia; Rodentia; Sciuridae. The record is from RNAcentral.
GGAUGUGGCUCAGUGGUAGAGUGCUUGCCUUGCACAUGUGAGGCACUGGGUUCAAUCCUCAGUACCA